This 356-nucleotide ribosomal RNA is filed under the name uncultured bacterium. RNAcentral's name for it is "partial 16S ribosomal RNA". It matches the Rfam family "Bacterial small subunit ribosomal RNA", at positions 338 to 711 of the family's 1533-position model. The record is from RNAcentral.
CCUACGGGGGGCAGCAGUGGGGGAUAGUGCACAAUGGGGGAAACCCUGAUGCAGCGACGCCGCGUGAGUGAAGAAGUAUUUCGGUAUGUAAAGCUCUAUCAGCAGGGAAGAAAAUGAAAGUACCGGACCAAGAAGCCCCGGCUAACUACGUGCCAGCAGCCGCGGUAAUACGUAGGGGGCAAGCGUGAUCCGGAUUUACUGGGUGUCAAGGGAGCGUAGAGGGUUAUGGUAGUCUGGAGUGAAAGCCCGGGGCCCAACCCCGGGACGGCGUUGUAAACGGUGUAACUGGAGUACAGGAGGGGCAGGCGGCAUUCCUGGUGUCGCGGUGAAAUGCGUAGAUAUCAGCAGGAACCCCG